CUGAUCUGUUUCCUGUGUUUGGAAAGAGUUCCAGCUUCAUCACGGAGUUUCUCUCGGUUUGUGGGCUCAUCUAAAGGGAUAAAAUACAUAUCUAUACUUUUGUGUCCCAGCUGAGUAACAGGAGGAGAAGAGUCUGGUGGAGCAGCAGAGGAACAAUUUCAGCCAUUUGGACUCAGCUCAGCCACUACAGAGGAAACAAUGACUUCAACACAAAAGGACCAACAUGGAGCGAGAAGUCAGCGCUCUCAGGAGGCCGACAAACCUCACAGAAGAAAGGGAGAGAAGAAAUACAGCUGUGAUGAGUGUGGAAAGGAUUUUACUCAUGCUGGAAGCUUAAAAAAUCACAAAGUCAUCCACAGUGGAGUUAAAGCAUACAACUGUGACUUGUGUGGAAAAUCUUUUACCCUGGCUGGAAGCUUAAAAACACACCAACUCAUCCACAGUGGAAUUAAACCAUACAGCUGUGACUUGUGUGGAAAAUCUUUUACCCAGGCUGGAAGCUUAAAAACACACCAACUCAUCCACAGUGGAGUUAAAGCACACUACUGUGAGUUGUGUGGAAAGUCUUUUACCCAGGCUGGAAACUUAAAAACACACCAACUCAUCCACAGUGGAAUUAAACCGUACAGCUGUGACUUGUGUGGAAAAUCCUUAGCCGAGGCUGGCGACUUAAAAAAACACCAACUUAUCCACAGUGGAGUUAAAGCGUACAGCUGUAAUCAGUGUGGUAAAACUUUU
Molecule: long non-coding RNA, 738 nt
Organism: Pelmatolapia mariae (spotted tilapia)
Lineage: Eukaryota; Metazoa; Chordata; Actinopteri; Cichliformes; Cichlidae
Exons: 3
Source: RefSeq, a predicted model, not a curated record